UUGAUGUUCUAACGUGGAUCCGUAAUCCGGGUUGCGGACAGUGUCUGGUGGGUAGUUUGACUGGGGCGGUCUCCUCCUAAAGAGUAACGGAGGAGCACGAAGGUUGGCUAAUCCUGGUCGGACAUCAGGAGGUUAGUGCAAUGGCAUAAGCCAGCUUGACUGCGAGCGUGACGGCGCGAGCAGGUGCGAAAGCAGGUCAUAGUGAUCCGGUGGUUCUGAAUGGAAGGGCCAUCGCUCAACGGAUAAAAGGUACUCCGGGGAUAACAGGCUGAUACCGCCCAAGAGUUCAUAUCGACGGCGGUGUUUGGCACCUCGAUGUCGGCUCAUCACAUCCUGGGGCUGAAGUAGGUCCCAAGGGUAUGGCUGUUCGCCAUUUAAAGUGGUACGCGAGCUGGGUUUAGAACGUCGUGAGACAGUUCGGUCCCUAUCUGCCGUGGGCGCUGGAGAACUGAGGGGGGCUGCUCCUAGUACGAGAGGACCGGAGUGGACGCAUCACUGGUGUUCGGGUUGUCAUGCCAAUGGCACUGCCCGGUAGCUAAAUGCGGAAGAGAUAAGUGCUGAAAGCAUCUAAGCACGAAACUUGCCCCGAGAUGAGUUCUCCCUGAGACUUAGAGUCUCCUGAAGGAACGUUGAAGACGACGACGUUGAUAGGCCGGGUGUGUAAGCGCAGCGAUGCGUUGAGCUAACCGGUACUAAUGAACCGUGAGGCUUAACCUU
This 717-nucleotide ribosomal RNA is filed under the name Salmonella enterica subsp. enterica serovar Infantis. Its description in RNAcentral is "partial 23S ribosomal RNA". It matches the Rfam family "Bacterial large subunit ribosomal RNA", at positions 2214 to 2925 of the family's 2925-position model. The record is from RNAcentral. Lineage: Bacteria; Pseudomonadati; Pseudomonadota; Gammaproteobacteria; Enterobacterales; Enterobacteriaceae.